RNAcentral lists this ribosomal RNA (497 nucleotides) under uncultured bacterium. Its description in RNAcentral is "partial 16S ribosomal RNA". It matches the Rfam family "Bacterial small subunit ribosomal RNA", at positions 28 to 507 of the family's 1533-position model. The record is from RNAcentral.
GAUGAACGCUGGCGGCGUGCCUAAUACAUGCAAGUCGAGCGAACAGACGAGGAGCUUGCUCCUCUGACGUUAGCGGCGGACGGGUGAGUAACACGUGGAUAACCUACCUAUAAGACUGGGAUAACUUCGGGAAACCGGCGCUAAUACCGGAUAAUAUAUUGAACCGCAUGGUUCAAUAGUGAAAGACGGUUUUGCUGUCACUUAUAGAUGGAUCCGCGCCGCAUUAGCUAGUUGGUAAGGUAACGGCUUACCAAGGCAACGAUGCGUAGCCGACCUGAGGGGGGGGUCGGCGACACUGGAACUGAGACGGGGUCCAGACUCCUACGGGAGGCAGCAGUAGGGAAUCGUCCGCAAUGGGCGGAAGCCUGACAGAGCAACGCCGCGUGAGUGAUGAAGGUCUUCGGAGCGUAAAACUCUGUUAUUAGGGAAGAACAAAUGUGGAAGUAACUAUGCACGUCGUGACGGUACCGAGUCAGAAAGCCACGGCUAACUACGUG